RNAcentral lists this ribosomal RNA (323 nucleotides) under uncultured eukaryote. Its description in RNAcentral is "partial 18S ribosomal RNA". It matches the Rfam family "Eukaryotic small subunit ribosomal RNA", at positions 1470 to 1796 of the family's 1831-position model. The record is from RNAcentral.
CCCUUAGAUGUUCUGGGCCGCACGCGUGCUACACUGAACGGUUCAAUGGGUAAGGUAGUGCGAAAGCAUGACCUAAUCUCGAAAUCCGUUCGUGCUGGGGAUAGAAGCUUGCAAUUAUCCUUCUUGAACGAGGAAUACCUUGUAAGCGUGAGUCAUCAUCUCACGCUGAAUACGUCCCUGCCCUUUGUACACACCGCCCGUCGCUCCUACCGAUUGAGUGUUCCGGUGAGGCUUUGGGAGAAUGGCCUCAACAUGAGUUUAUCGUGUUUUGCCGUUUGAACUUAGUCAAACCUUAUCACUUAGAGGAAGGAGAGGUCGUAACA